This 72-nucleotide transfer RNA is filed under the name Capitella teleta. RNAcentral's name for it is "tRNA-Thr for anticodon CGU". It matches the Rfam family "tRNA". Rfam says of the family: Transfer RNA (tRNA) molecules are approximately 80 nucleotides in length. Lineage: Eukaryota; Metazoa; Annelida; Polychaeta; Capitellidae. The record is from Rfam by way of RNAcentral.
GGCUCGGUGGCCAAGUGGUAAGGCGUCGGUCUCGUAAACCGAAGAUCUCGGGUUCGAUACCCGGCCGGGCCU